This 253-nucleotide ribosomal RNA is filed under the name uncultured bacterium. Its description in RNAcentral is "partial 16S ribosomal RNA". It matches the Rfam family "Bacterial small subunit ribosomal RNA", at positions 524 to 776 of the family's 1533-position model. The record is from RNAcentral.
UACGGGGGGGGCAAGCGUUGUUCGGAAUUACUGGGCGUAAAGGGCUCGUAGGUGGCCAACUAAGUCGGACGUGAAAUCCCUCGGCUUAACCGGGGAACUGCGUCCGAUACUGGUUGGCUUGAGUUUGGGAGAGGGAUGCGGGAUUCCAGGUGUAGCGGUGAAAUGCGUAGAUAUCUGGAGGAACACCGGUGGCGAAGGCGGCAUCCUGGACCGGCAUUGACGCUGAGGCGCGAAAGCUAGGGGAGCAAACGGG